Molecule: non-coding RNA, 911 nt
Organism: Marmota flaviventris (yellow-bellied marmot)
Lineage: Eukaryota; Metazoa; Chordata; Mammalia; Rodentia; Sciuridae
Source: the annotation of a RefSeq genome assembly
GCUGGGUAGCCUCAAGGUAGAGCACUUGAAAGAACCUCCCCACUAUGGAGUGGCUUCACAUUUACCUCCUGCCCCUUGUUUUCUCCACAGGUCUUUGUGCCCUGCCUGUGCUGACCCAGAUGCCAUCUGCAUCUGCCUCCCUGGGAGCCUCAGCCACACUCACCUGCACCCUGAGCAGUGAGCACAGCAACUACUACAUUUUAUGGUAUCAGCAGAGGCUGGGGAACAGCCCCCAGUAUGUAAUGAAGGUGAACAGUGAUGGCAGCCACAGCAAGGGGACUGGGAUCUCUGACCGCUUCACAGGCUCUAGUUCUGGGGCUAAUCGUUACUUAACAAUUGCCAACAUCCAGCCUGAGGAUGAAGCUGAUUAUUACUGUGGAGAGAGACAUACAAUUGAUGGCCAGAGCGGGUAUGUCUUCGGUGGUGGGACCCGGCUCACCGUUCUAGGUCAGCCCAAGGCUUCCCCCUCGCUCACUGUAUUUCCACCCUCCUCUGACGAGCUACAGACCAACAAGGCUACACUGGUGUGUCUGAUCAAUGACUUCUACCCGGGUGCUGUGACUGUGGCCUGGAAAGCAGAUAGUACCACAAUCAGCCAGGGUGUGGAGACUACCCAGCCCUCUAAACAGACCAACAACAAGUACAUGGCCAGCAGCUACCUGACCAUCACGCCUGACAAGUGGAAAUCUCACAAAAGCUUUAGCUGCCAGGUCACACAUGAAGGAAACACUGUGGAGAAGAGUGUGUCCCCUUCAGCAUGUUCUUAACCUUUUGUCCCUCACCCCACCCUCAUGAUCCUGGAAGUGAAGGACCCUGGUGAGGGACCCCCUCCUUUUCCUAGUCUUCCCACUAAGCCCUUCUCUCUGAACCCACUGACUGCUCAAUAAAAAUAUCCCAUUGUGAAUCAGAAA